This 200-nucleotide unclassified non-coding RNA is filed under the name Leotiomycetes sp. Its description in RNAcentral is "partial internal transcribed spacer 2". The record is from RNAcentral. Lineage: Eukaryota; Fungi; Ascomycota; Leotiomycetes.
UUAAGUUCAGCGGGUAUCCCUACCUGAUCCGAGGUCAAACCUUUUGUUUUUUGGUGAUUGUCUGGCAGGCAACCGCCGGGUCCCCAGAGCGAGAGAUGCUACUACGCUUGGAGCCCACGCGGCACCGCCACUGAUUUUAAGGCCCGCCAGCACGCUGGCGCAGCCCAACACCAAGCUGAGCUUGAGGGGUUGAAAUGACG